RNAcentral lists this ribosomal RNA (894 nucleotides) under uncultured bacterium. RNAcentral describes it as "bacterial SSU rRNA". It matches the Rfam family "Bacterial small subunit ribosomal RNA", at positions 79 to 955 of the family's 1533-position model. The record is from RNAcentral.
GACGUUGGGAAAGCGAGCGGCGGAUGGGUGAGUAACACGUGGGGAACCUGCCCCUAAGUCUGGGAUACCAUUUGGAAACAGGUGCUAAUACCGGAUAAUAAAGCAGAUCGCAUGAUCAGCUUUUGAAAGGCGGCGUAAGCUGUCGCUAAGGGAUGGCCCCGCGGUGCAUUAGCUAGUUGGUAAGGUAACGGCUUACCAAGGCGACGAUGCAUAGCCGAGUUGAGAGACUGAUCGGCCACAUUGGGACUGAGACACGGCCCAAACUCCUACGGGAGGCAGCAGUAGGGAAUCUUCCACAAUGGACGCAAGUCUGAUGGAGCAACGCCGCGUGAGUGAAGAAGGUUUUCGGAUCGUAAAGCUCUGUUGUUGGUGAAGAAGGAUAGAGGUAGUAACUGGCCUUUAUUUGACGGUAAUCAACCAGAAAGUCACGGCUAACUACGUGCCAGCAGCCGCGGUAAUACGUAGGUGGCAAGCGUUGUCCGGAUUUAUUGGGCGUAAAGCGAGCGCAGGCGGAAAAAUAAGUCUAAUGUGAAAGCCCUCGGCUUAACCGAGGAACUGCAUCGGAAACUGUUUUUCUUGAGUGCAGAAGAGGAGAGUGGAACUCCAUGUGUAGCGGUGGAAUGCGUAGAUAUAUGGAAGAACACCAGUGGCGAAGGCGGCUCUCUGGUCUGCAACUGACGCUGAGGCUCGAAAGCAUGGGUAGCGAACAGGAUUAGAUACCCUGGUAGUCCAUGCCGUAAACGAUGAGUGCUAAGUGUUGGGAGGUUUCCGCCUCUCAGUGCUGCAGCUAACGCAUUAAGCACUCCGCCUGGGGAGUACGACCGCAAGGUUGAAACUCAAAGGAAUUGACGGGGGCCCCGCACAAGCGGGUGGAGCAUGUGGUUUUAAUUCGAA